AGCGAACGCUGGCGGCAGGCUUAACACAUGCAAGUCGAACGGGCUUCUUCGGAAGUCAGUGGCAGACGGGUGAGUAACACGUGGGAACGUGCCCUGCGGUUCGGAAUCACUCAGGGAAACUUGAGCUAAUACCGGAUACGCCCUUUUGGGGAAAGGUUUACUGCCGAAGGAUCGGCCCGCGUCUGAUUCGCUUGUUGUUGGGGUAACGGCCUACCAAGGCGACGAUCAGUAGCUGGUCUGAGAGGAUGAUCAGCCACACUGGGACUGAGACACGGCCCAGACUCCUACGGGAGGCAGCAGUGGGGAAUAUUGCACAAUGGGCGCAAGCCUGAUCCAGCCAUGCCGCGUGAGUGAUGAAGGCCUUAGGGUUGUAAAGCUCUUUUGCCCGGGACGAUAAUGACGGUACCGGAAGAAUAAGCCCCGGCUAACUUCGUG
Molecule: ribosomal RNA, 435 nt
Filed under: uncultured bacterium
Lineage: Bacteria
Description: partial 16S ribosomal RNA
Rfam family: Bacterial small subunit ribosomal RNA
Source: RNAcentral